This 219-nucleotide long non-coding RNA is filed under the name Salvia miltiorrhiza (redroot sage). RNAcentral's name for it is "long non-coding RNA (SMIL_LNC013687)". Lineage: Eukaryota; Viridiplantae; Streptophyta; Magnoliopsida; Lamiales; Lamiaceae. The record is from RNAcentral.
GUGCUAGUUGGCCGAAGAAGAUUUGCUCGCCCACCAAUCAAAUGACGCCUCGUAAAAUUCUCUGCUCGAGGUCGGGUUAGCUGAAGAUCUCGUGUGACGCUGCUGUUGUGAACGAUGUUGGGAUUGGUGUGGGGGGUGUUUUGCAGAAUGGUGACGGUGAGAUCGUAGGGUGUCGAUAUGGAGCUAGGCGAGGAGUCUUCUCUUGCCUGGAGGGGGAAG